CAGGCCUAACACAUGCAAGUCGAACGAGAAAGUGGAGCAAUCCAUGAGUAAAGUGGCGCACGGGUGAGUAACACGUGACUAACCUACCCUCGAGUGGGGAAUAACCUCGGGAAACCGAGGCUAAUACCGCAUAACAUCGCAAGAUCAAAGCAGCAAUGCGCUGGAAGAGGGGGUCGCGGCUGAUUAGCCAGUUGGCGGGGUAACGGCCCACCAAAGCGAAGAUCGGUAGCCGGCCUGAGAGGGCGCACGGCCACACUGGAACUGAAACACGGUCCAGACUCCUACGGGAGGCAGCAGUGGGGAAUUUUGCGCAAUGGGGGAAGCCCUGACGCAGCAACGCCGCGUGGAGGAUGAAGUCCCUUGGGAUGUAAACUCCUUUCGAUCGGGACGAUUAUGACGGUACCGGAAGAAGAAGCACCGGCUAACUCUGUGCCAGCAGCCGCGGUAAUACA
RNAcentral lists this ribosomal RNA (452 nucleotides) under uncultured Acidobacteriota bacterium. RNAcentral's name for it is "bacterial SSU rRNA". It matches the Rfam family "Bacterial small subunit ribosomal RNA", at positions 43 to 527 of the family's 1533-position model. The record is from RNAcentral. Lineage: Bacteria; Pseudomonadati; Acidobacteriota.